AACUAUCUAUUAUUAAUAUAAAUAAUAUCUUUGCUUGUCCAUAAAUUAUGUAAGAGAAAAUUUUAGAAAGUGAGAUUUGGUAUGCAUAUAUAUUAGCCAAGUAGCUUCUUAAAGAGCUAUUACAUGUUCAAAUCCAAUGAAAUAUAGAAUUUUAGCAAUUAAUUGAAUGGAAACGAAGUUACAACUUUUACAUACUAUUAUGAGU
Molecule: long non-coding RNA, 205 nt
Filed under: Physcomitrium patens
Lineage: Eukaryota; Viridiplantae; Streptophyta; Bryopsida; Funariales; Funariaceae
Description: long non-coding RNA (PPAT_LNC004204)
Source: RNAcentral